RNAcentral lists this ribosomal RNA (428 nucleotides) under Bacteroidota bacterium. Its description in RNAcentral is "Bacteroidetes bacterium partial 16S ribosomal RNA". It matches the Rfam family "Bacterial small subunit ribosomal RNA", at positions 355 to 776 of the family's 1533-position model. The record is from RNAcentral. Lineage: Bacteria; Pseudomonadati; Bacteroidota.
UAGGGAAUCUUCCGCAAUGGACGCAAGUCUGACGGAGCAACGCCGCGGGAGUGAAGAAGGAUCUCGGUUCGUAAAACUCUGUUGUUAGAGAAGAACAGCGCAUAGAGUAACUGUUAUGCGUGUGACGGUAUCUAACCAGAAAGCCACGGCUAACUACGUGCCAGCAGCCGCGGUAAUACGUAGGUCCCGAGCGUUGUCCGGAUUUAUUGGGCGUAAAGCGAGCGCAGGCGGUUAGAAAAGUCUGAAGUGAAAGGCAGUGGCUCAACCAUUGUAGGCUUUGGAAACUGUUUAACUUGAGUGCAGAAGGGGAGGGUGGAAUUCCAUGUGUGGCGGUGAAAUGCGUAGAUAUAUGGAGGAACCCCGGUGGCGAAGGCGACUCUCUGGUCUGUAACUGACGCUGAGGCUCGAAAGCGUGGGUAGCAAACGGG